RNAcentral lists this long non-coding RNA (237 nucleotides) under Carica papaya (papaya). Its description in RNAcentral is "long non-coding RNA (CPAP_LNC015382)". Lineage: Eukaryota; Viridiplantae; Streptophyta; Magnoliopsida; Brassicales; Caricaceae. The record is from RNAcentral.
GUAUGGUUGGGAUCCCAAACCUGACCACCACCUUCAAGUCAAAAAAAAUAUGAAAGGACAGUUUUGGACAUGUAAGUCAUUUUGUUGUCCAAUUGGGUGGUAUCAUCUCCUUUUAUUUUUCCCUGUCUCCUACCCAACCCGUACUCUCUUUUUAUCUAGCUAGCUCACGAAUAAGCUACCUUUUAGCUUAUGGCUUUUGGCUCUACACACACACCCUCCUUCGUGGCUCGAGAUGGG